Long non-coding RNA from Octopus bimaculoides (California two-spot octopus), 1557 nucleotides. The record is from RefSeq and is a predicted model, not a curated record. NCBI's taxonomy places the organism in Eukaryota, Metazoa, Mollusca, Cephalopoda, Octopoda, Octopodidae.
AGAAAGGAAGAUAUGUGUGAUAGAGGGAUAGUAUUAGGGAGAGUGAGAGGUAUAUGUGAUACAGAGAGGAAGGCCAAUAUAUCCGAUACAUAAAUAGAGGGAGGGAAAGCGAUGUUUAUCCAAUAGAGAGGAGCGGUGGGAAAGAGAGAGUGACAGUGUAUAGUAGUGCUGUGUUAUAGUAGUGUUGUUAUAGUAGUGUUGUAUAUAUAUUAUAAGAAGCGUGAUGUGUAGGAGAAGGCGAGGUAGCCAGCUCGACUGGCUUUCUGGCUGAGUAUAUUUCUGAUCAAUUCACACAACGGACACUUUUUUUAAUCAAGUUUGGGAAUUAUUUUACUGCUGUGUCCAUUUUAAUAUCCUCACAAACGGAGACAAGAAGAGAAAGAGAGACUCAGGCUGCUGGAUCUAACGUGAGAGAGAAAGACGGUGAUAAUAUAUACAGAGAAGAAACUCACACACCCACAAGAUAGAGAGAGAGACUGAAAAAUUCUUGUAUUACAGUUUCACCGGUGGCCUGAACUAAGAAGGCCUUGUAAAUAUAUAUAUAAAUAUAUCAUAUUAUAUAUUGUUAUAUAUGUUAUGUGGCUAGCCAAGGUUAAGUGAAUUAACCAGUUAGUUAACCAUGGAUCUUCUACAGCCUGCUUACUCAGUAAUAGUAGCGAAAAUAGUUGCGGCAACAGUACUUCUACUCUCUAUACAGCUAGAUCAUUUCCGACACCCUUCUCUCAUUUUGUGAACGAUCACCUACCAGCUUCCUUCAUUGUUAUGUGUGUCUAUACAUAUAUAUGAUAUAUAUAUAAUAUAUAUUAUAUAUGUGUAUGUCUAUAUUGUAUAUAUAUAUUGUAUAUAUUUAACCGCACGUAUAUCUAUAUAUAUUUAUAUAUUAUAUAUGUAUAUCUAUUACACACACAUACACAUGACAGUCAGAAGUAUUUUUCACACAACCAAGGAUUAUUUAAUAUACUUUUUUACUCACGCCAACCAAAGGAUUACCAAACAAACGGAGAAGAAUCCGACACUACGCCUAAUCCGGAUGUAUACGACGAAUAUAUAUUUACUCACUUGAUAUAGAAUAGAUAUAUAGAUAUAUACAUAUAUAUAUAAAUGCGUGUGUAUAUAUAUACAUGUUAGAGUGUAUAUGUAUAUAUAGAGGUAUGUGUGAAUGUGUGUGAUUGCGGUGUGUUGUAAAAGAAAAGUAUUCUAUCAGCCUUGUAUAUUGUGCGUGCGUGUGGUGUGAGUGUGUGAGUGAGUGAGUGUGUGCGUGUAUGUGAGUGUGCGUGUGAGUGUGUAUGUAUGCAUGUACGUAUAUAUACACACACACGUGCAAAAGAAAUACUAUACAUAGAUAUAUAUAUAUGUGUGUAUAUAUAUAUGUCUGUAUGCUUGUUAAAUACAUUUAUCUGUGCGUGUGAGUGUGUGUGAAUGUGCGAAGGGCAGUUUGCUGGUGUGGUUUGCCCAGUGCUGUAGUAAAUAAAUAAAUCUAUAAAAAAUAAAAUUAAAUUUAAAAAAAAAAAAAAGGAAUUUCAAAAGUCCUAAAGUGACUGCCCAGCCAGACAUCGU